This 478-nucleotide long non-coding RNA is filed under the name Capra hircus (goat). RNAcentral describes it as "lncRNA (ENSCHIG00000005176.1)". Lineage: Eukaryota; Metazoa; Chordata; Mammalia; Artiodactyla; Bovidae. The record is from RNAcentral.
CAGCACAUCAGGCAAAUAGAGGCCCCUUCCCCGGCUGGGGUCCUACUCUGUAGAUCGGUGUGUCAGGCACUUAAAGGGGCACCCUGGGCAGGGUCCUACUCUGUAGUUCAGUGCGUCCCAAGUUUCAUGGGCCAGCCUCUCUAUUGUUCAGCUGCCAAUGCUGGUGUGUGGGGAGAGAGAGGCUAAGCAAGACAAUGAUGAUGACAAAGACAUCAAAAAUAUAAAGGAAAGGGAGAAAGAGAAGAAUGAAGAGGAAGAACUGGGGAAGGAUGGAAAGAGCUAGCCUAUGAACCUUUACCAGGCACCAGGCAUAAUUUUCAAGUAAUCUUCACACCAUCAGAGGUAUAUGGUGGUACAGCCCUUAUUUUACAGAUUAAAAACAUAUAGAAAGAGUAAAUAAGUGGCUCAAGUUUGUACUUAAAGUGCCAGGAUUAAAGUCUGGUGGUCUGGCUCCACAAUCUGUGUUUUUACACAACAA